RNAcentral lists this ribosomal RNA (253 nucleotides) under uncultured bacterium. RNAcentral's name for it is "partial 16S ribosomal RNA". It matches the Rfam family "Bacterial small subunit ribosomal RNA", at positions 524 to 776 of the family's 1533-position model. The record is from RNAcentral.
UACGUAGGGUGCAGGCGUUAAUCGGAAUUACUGGGCGUAAAGCGUGCGCAGGCGGUCUUUUAAGUCAGAUGUGAAAUCCCCGGGCUUAACCUGGGAACUGCGUUUGAAACUGGAAGGCUUGAGUGUGGCAGAGGGGGGUGGAAUUCCACGUGUAGCAGUGAAAUGCGUAGAGAUGUGGAGGAACACCAAUGGCGAAGGCAGCCUUCUGGGCCAACACUGACGCUCAUGCACGAAAGCGUGGGGAGCAAACAGG